RNAcentral lists this ribosomal RNA (497 nucleotides) under uncultured bacterium. RNAcentral describes it as "partial 16S ribosomal RNA". It matches the Rfam family "Bacterial small subunit ribosomal RNA", at positions 28 to 507 of the family's 1533-position model. The record is from RNAcentral.
GAUGAACGCUGGCGGCGUGCCUAAUACAUGCAAGUCGAGCGAAAGGACGAGGCGCUUGCUUCUCUGUUGUUAGCGGCGGACGGGUGUAUAACGCGUGGAACACCCACCUAUCAUACUGGGAUCACUUCGAGAAAGCGUCGCUUAUAGCGGAGAAUCUUUUGAACCACAUGGUUCGAAGGUAAAAUACGGUGUUUCUGUAUCUACUCGCUGGAUCUGCGCUGCAUUGGCUAGUUGUUAAGUUAACGGCUUACCAAGGCAACUAUGCGUAGCCGACCGCAGAGGGUGGUCGGCGGCACUGGAACUGGGACGGGGUCCAGACGCCUGCGGGAGGGAGCAGAAUGGAAUCUUCCGCAAUGGUCGAAAGCCUUACGCAGCAGCGCCGCGUGAGUUAUGAAGGUGUUGGGAGCGUAAAACCCUGUUUCGAGGUAAGAACAGAUUUGUAAGUUGCCGAGGACAUCUUGACGGUACCUGGUCAGAAAGCCACGGCUAACUACGUG